UGGGGAAUAUUGGGCAAUGGGCGAAAGCCUGACCCAGCAACGCCGCGUGAAGGAUGAAGGUUUUCGGAUUGUAAACUUCUGUCGCGAGGGACGAAGAAUGACGGUACCUCGUAAGAAAGCCCCGGCAAACUACGUGCCAGCAGCCGCGGUAAUACGUAGGGGGCGAGCGUUGUCCGGAAUGACUGGGCGUAAAGGGAGUGUAGGCGGCUUUUUAAGUUAUAUGUGAAAUCCCACGGCUCAACCGUGGAACUGCAUAUAAAACUGGGGAGCUGGAGUGCAGGAGAGGUAAGUGGAAUUCCUAGUGUAGCGGUGGAAUGCGUAGAUAUUAGGAAGAACACCGGUGGCGAAGGCGGCUUACUGGACUGUAACUGACGCUGAGGCUCGAAAGCGUGGGGAGCAAACAGG
This 405-nucleotide ribosomal RNA is filed under the name uncultured bacterium. Its description in RNAcentral is "bacterial SSU rRNA". It matches the Rfam family "Bacterial small subunit ribosomal RNA", at positions 355 to 776 of the family's 1533-position model. The record is from RNAcentral.